AGCCCUUUACUGACGCUAAAGCUCGAAGGUGCGGGUAUCGAACAGGAUUAGAUACCCUGGUAGUCCGCACGGUAAACGAUGGAUGCCCGCUGUAUGCGAUACAAUGUAUGCGGCCAAGCGAAAGCGUUAAGCAUCCCACCUGGGGAGUACGCCGGCAACGGUGAAACUCAAAGGAAUUGACGGGGGCCCGCACAAGCGGAGGAACAUGUGGUUUAAUUCGAUGAUACGCGAGGAACCUUACCCGGGCUUGAACUGCAGCAGAACGAUUCAGAGAUGAUGAGGCCCUUCGGGGCUGCUGUGGAGGUGCUGCAUGGUUGUCGUCAGCUCGUGCCGUGAGGUGUCGGCUUAAGUGCCAUAACGAGCGCAACCCCUUUCGCCAGUUGCCAUCAGGUGAUGCUGGGCACUCCGGCGACACUGCCACCGCAAGGUGUGAGGAAGGUGGGGAUGACGUCAAAUCAGCACGGCCCUUACGUCCGGGGCUACACACGUGUUACAAUGGGUGGUACAGAGAGUCAGGCGUUGGCAACACCGCCUUAAUCCAUAAAGCCAUCCUCAGUUCGGAUUGGGGUCUGCAACCCGACCCCAUGAAGCUGGAUUCGC
This 600-nucleotide ribosomal RNA is filed under the name uncultured bacterium. Its description in RNAcentral is "bacterial SSU rRNA". It matches the Rfam family "Bacterial small subunit ribosomal RNA", at positions 731 to 1335 of the family's 1533-position model. The record is from RNAcentral.